ACAUUGUCAACUCCAACAAGAAAUCUUGUCGGGUUAUACAAGAAAAGAAAAAUCGCUUUUUUAAAUCUGUGCAUCCAAGAAAAGGAUUUAUUUUUUCAAGAAUUCAGUUGAAAAAUUUAAGACUUUUGCAUGUUGCACUUUGAAAGAGUUGCACACAGUGCUUUUGGCUGUCAAAUGUAUUUAAAAAAGAAAUGAAAAAUUCAAGAGAAUGUUCUUUAUCUGUUAAACCUUGUCAUGUUUUUUUUUUUAAAUGGAGAUUUAUGGUCUUGGUCUUAUCUUAGUCUCGGUCUUGUUCUUGACUCUGUCCCGACCCCCAAAUAUCUUGGUCUGGUCUUGGUCUCUGUGAGUUUUGGUCUCGGGCAAGUCUUGGUCUCGGUUAGUGUGGUCUUGCGCACAACACCAUCCCUAAUAUCUUCCCCUUUAAAAGUGAAAAUGUAAUGUCUCUUGGAUUUUGUGUUGUGGUGGCAGCAAACAGCUCAUCUGACGUCCUGACACAUUUUCAACGACGCUCCAUCAGGGUGACAGUGAUGGACCUCUCCAACCGUCAGGAACUUCAAACUGACGCACUGCAGGAUAGAACGGCCUGUGGCUGGAUGGAGAUGGAGGAGGUGGACAAGCGCCUCACUCUGGAGAUUCGGGAGGAUUAAUCGGCGAGUCCCUCCCCGCUGACAACGCACAAACUGCAGCGGCACAAUUGACUCGUAACGCGGGAGACUUCAUCGGCGAACGAUCGGAAGAAGAUCAUGCUCAAGAAGCAUUGACUUUAUCAUCCAUCCAUUUUCUGCAGCGCUUAUCGCGGGUGUGCUGGGGCCAAUCCCAGCUGACGUCCGGCGAGAGGCGGGGUACACACUUGACUGGUCGUCAGCCAAUCACAAGGCACGGACUGUAUAGACAAACGUGGACUAACAACCAUUCAACAACAACAGUGCAAUUGUCGUUUUAUGAGAAUAAAGGUAUUUUCGGGAAGAAAAAGGAAAAGGAAAUAUAUUUUUUAAAUAUUUUCUCGCAAAAUAGACAUUUUUAAAAAAGAAACAUCAUUUAUUCAAUCGUAAUUUUAUGAGAAAAGUAUUUUAUUUAUUUUUUUUUUUUUACAGAAAGAAAUGUCAACGUGUGUAUUUUUUUUUAAAUAUUACGAGAAUAAGA
Molecule: long non-coding RNA, 1143 nt
Organism: Phyllopteryx taeniolatus (common seadragon)
Lineage: Eukaryota; Metazoa; Chordata; Actinopteri; Syngnathiformes; Syngnathidae
Exons: 3
Source: RefSeq, a predicted model, not a curated record